UACCAGCACCCCGAGUGGUCGGGACGAUUAUUGGGCCUAAAGCAUCCGUAGCCGGUCCUACAAGUCUUCCGUUAAAUCCACCUGCUUAACAGAUGGGCUGCGGAAGAUACUAUAGGGCUAGGAGGCGGGAGAGGCAAGCGGUACUCAGUGGGUAGGGGUAAAAUCCUCUGAUCCAUUGAAGACCACCAGUGGCGAAGGCGGCUUGCCAGAACGCGCUCGACGGUGAGGGAUGAAAGCUGGGGAGCAAACCGG
RNAcentral lists this ribosomal RNA (252 nucleotides) under uncultured bacterium. RNAcentral's name for it is "partial 16S ribosomal RNA". It matches the Rfam family "Archaeal small subunit ribosomal RNA", at positions 474 to 727 of the family's 1478-position model. The record is from RNAcentral.